RNAcentral lists this long non-coding RNA (953 nucleotides) under Bemisia tabaci. RNAcentral's name for it is "lncRNA ENSSSA3NGG012181". The record is from RNAcentral. Lineage: Eukaryota; Metazoa; Arthropoda; Insecta; Hemiptera; Aleyrodidae.
UAUAUCGAUGGUGAAACUGCAAAAAUGCAUAUCUCGGUUGCGGUGCUUGAAAAUCUCCGUUCCUAUUUUAUUUUUUAAAAGAAAACCGAACCAACAUCGUGGCUUGAAAUUUUCACAGAAUAUUUUUCACAAAAGAAGAAAAAUAUCCAAAGUGCUCAAUAAAUGACGUUCAUUGGUUUUCCAUAUGAAAAAUAAAGUAUGACAGGAAGUCUGCAACGCCGCAAACCGAUAUACGCAUUCCUGCAGUUUCACCAUCGAUAUCGCAUCGAUUAGUGCGAUUAACUGCGAUAUAUCGCAUGAAUUCGACCAAAGUUAGGUUAUUGUUUGGCGAGGAGGCAGGCAGGCUGCAGCAAGAGAGUCAAGAGCAAGGCAAGAGUCAAGCAAAAUAAUGCAGAAAAUUGCAUGCUGCAGAAAAACGUGAAGGAAAAGCGAACGCGAGUAGUUAUUGUACUUCACUAAGUAAUUUUUCUAGCGGAAUCCUGUGUCCGUCUCACGGUUUCAGGUAUCUAUGCGGUAUCAAUUUCAAGUCUCGGUCUGAUAGUGAAGUGAACAUUACUUUUUUAACUACUUCUCCCUUGAUACUGUGUCUGUCCUCUGUCCCAUCACCUUCUGAGCCAACUGAGCUCAGAGCUCAGUCUCGAUUUUCUUCGUCUGUCUAAAUGAGUGCCUCAAGUCUGCCGAAAGCAGUUUUACUGUCUCCAGCCUCUACACAUCUUCACGCUGCUUACUCUACUGCUGUAAAUCGCAUUAAAUUCGAGGAGCAUAUUGAGCGCAGCAUUUCUUUGCUGGAACAAGAUGAGCAUCAAAAACGAUUGAACAAACUACGUAAGGAAUUGGAUUACAUCCAAAACACAUCUUGGAAGUAUCCAUCUGUAGAUAAUUCAUUGGCCAUUAAGGAUUAUUGCAAAGACAAUCACCAAAUCAGCCAUCAAUCUGAUUUUCCAAAGGUGUAG